RNAcentral lists this long non-coding RNA (900 nucleotides) under Equus caballus (horse). RNAcentral describes it as "lncRNA (ENSECAG00000051543.1)". The record is from RNAcentral. Lineage: Eukaryota; Metazoa; Chordata; Mammalia; Perissodactyla; Equidae.
GUUUAGAGGCCCAGGUCUUAUUCUUGUGUGUGUGUGUGAAUAUAAGCAUGCUUACAUGUCUUUAAAAAUCAGGUUUGGGAAGAUCUCCUCAAGAUGGCAGUAUAGGCAGACUUGGAACUCACCUUCUCCUGUGAACACAACCAGGUCACACUAUUCUUGGAAAAAUUGCCCCUGGGAGAGAACUGAAAACUGGAUAAAAAGAACCCCCACAACAAGAGACCAUCCUGACUGAGGCAGAAGGGGCAGAAAUUCCAUCUGGAGAGAGAAAAAUUCACCUUUGUGAGCCAUGGAGCUUCACAGUCAGCCAGGCAGGAGCAAAUCUAAGCAACAAAGGGGAUUGCCCUUGCCUUCCAAAGCCUGAAACAACUGGAUGCUCCCUGCCCAGGGCCAGCCCCAUUCAGCUGCAAUCUUAAGAAAGCUGACAACAGCUUUGCAGGCUGGAGGCCUAGAGCAAUUAUAAGUCCCUGAGCCCAGCAACCAGCUACACUGGGUGCCUACUCACUUAACAGAAAAACUGCAAUGAGUGUGCUAUUAGACUUUUCAGACAACUGUGAUUGGGCUCCCUGAAACUGAUUUAAAAAUGGCUGGCCAGGAAGGGAAAGCCUAGACUCCCUGGGUACCUGCAGUCAGAGCAACUCUGCUGCAGCAGAAGGACACAAGUAGCCCACACAAGGGUCACUCCUGGAACAUUUGGACUGGUGACGAGAGGGAAGCACACUGCUGGGCCUCAAAAGGCAUCUCUUACAUAAGGCCACUUCUCCAAGACCAGGAGACAUAGCAGACUCACCUAAUACAUAGACUGAAGCACAGAGAAAGAGGCAUAAUGAGGAGGCAAAGGAAUAUGUUCUAAGCAAGGAAACAGGACAAAACCCCAGCAAAAGAACUAAAUGAAAUAGAAAU